GGCGGACGGGUGAGUAACACGUUGAGUUAACCUACCUUCCACAGGGGAAUAACACCGUGAAAACGGUGCUAAUACCGCAUAACAUUGCGCCGCGGCAUCGCGGGGCAAUCAAAGGAGCGAUCCGGUGGAAGAUGGACUCGCGCCCGAUUAGCUGGUUGGCGGGAUAACAGCCCACCAAGGCGACGAUCGGUAGCCGAACUGAGAGGUUGAUCGGCCACAUUGGGACUGAGACACGGCCCAGACUCCUAC
RNAcentral lists this ribosomal RNA (249 nucleotides) under uncultured Clostridia bacterium. RNAcentral describes it as "partial 16S ribosomal RNA". It matches the Rfam family "Bacterial small subunit ribosomal RNA", at positions 97 to 342 of the family's 1533-position model. Lineage: Bacteria; Bacillati; Bacillota; Clostridia. The record is from RNAcentral.